RNAcentral lists this ribosomal RNA (450 nucleotides) under uncultured bacterium. RNAcentral's name for it is "partial 16S ribosomal RNA". It matches the Rfam family "Bacterial small subunit ribosomal RNA", at positions 354 to 796 of the family's 1533-position model. The record is from RNAcentral.
GUGGGGAAUCUUCCGCAAUGGACGAAAGUCUGACGGAGCAACGCCGCGUGAGUGAUGAAGGUCUUCGGAUUGUAAAGCUCUGUUAAUCGGGACGAAAGAGCCUAGUGUGAAUAAUGCUAGGAAGUGACGGUACCGGAAUAGAAAGCCACGGCUAACUACGUGCCAGCAGCCGCGGUAAUACGUAGGUGGCAAGCGUUGUCCGGAAUUAUUGGGCGUAAAGCGCGCGCAGGCGGAUCUGCCAGUCUGUCUUAAAAGUUCGGGGCUUAACCCCGUGAUGGGAUGGAAACUACAGAUCUAGAGUAUCGGAGAGGAAAGUGGAAUUCCUAGUGUAGCGGUGAAAUGCGUAGAUAUUAGGAAGAACACCAGUGGUGAAGGCGACUUUCUGGACGAAAACUGACGCUGAGGCGCGAAAGCCAGGGGAGCGAACGGGAUUAGAAACCCGAGUAGUCC